Molecule: long non-coding RNA, 2841 nt
Filed under: Citrus x clementina
Lineage: Eukaryota; Viridiplantae; Streptophyta; Magnoliopsida; Sapindales; Rutaceae
Description: Citrus clementina (C. clementina) long non-coding RNA (CCLE_LNC003967)
Source: RNAcentral
UAGGAUAAAAAUUUUGUAAUCCGAUUCAAUUUAUUCGGAUUAAAUCGGAUUCGAAUCAAUCCGAUCAAAUUGCACUUGUAAUUAAAAAGAAUAUAUGAAUUAAAUAUAAAUAAGAAAUAAAAAUUAUCAGACCUCCUAAAUCCUUAAUAUCCUCAAAUCAGAAUAGAAAGGACGGAGAUUGGAGAAGCAACUUGCAGCCGUAUCACCCACGAACCCAGCCAAUCUCUUUUGGGAAAAAGCCGGCUUGCUGUCCAGUCGGCGACGCCCCAGGUGCACGCCGACGACGUCCUAAUCAACGGCCGCUGAGCUCGUGAGCCGCACGUUGCCACGCUACCAGCCGAAGCCGCAUGCAAAAGUCUCAUUCCCAGCCUCUGCAUUUUAUUUGUUUAUUGCAAGGGUUUCCAAUGGAGUCGGAUCCAGCAAAGCUUGCGAGGCGUAGAGGUUAUAAGCAUAGAUACUUUGACUUUGAAAAACUUGCAGGGUUUUGGGUGUUUUGAAUUGCUUGGGAAUCUGUUUUUGAUUUUGCCGGCAUGUCAUGUGUUUAGAGAAUGAAAUAGAGUCAUGAAGAUAAAUGUGUUUGCUCAUACAUUAUUGUGCUCCCCUCUAGAGUAAAAGCGAGCAAAUGGUUGAGCAGAUCAUCUCGACCAGGAUGCUAUUGGUCACAUAGACCAGAAUAAUAUGUGGUGACCUCGAGCACAUCACCUCGACCAGGAUGUUAUUGGUCACCUCGACCAGGAAAUUACCAGAAAGCACGAUUCAGUCAAAAUAUUUUCUCCGAAAUAUUAGGGACCAUAUUCUUAGUGGGCUGAAAAUUAAUUGUUUUAUUGAGAAUCCUAGGGGAGAGGAUAAAAAACGCUAUAGUUUCCUAUAAAAAGGGGAAAGGGGGAUUUCUUCGGGCUCUCUCUCUCUCUCUCUAAGCAACUGAACCCAUUGGACAUUUUUCUCUCUCUACCACAGAAAAAUUUCUCUUUCGCCUGUGAUUUCUUUAAGAUUGAUUAUUUUGAAUUCUUUUCCUUUAAAUUUACUUAAAAGCUUUUUGUUUAAGGCAAUCAUAAUUAAGCCACAUGAAUUGUGGUAUGGAUUUUUCUAAAUAAGACUCGAAUCGCUGACUUGAGCGUCGGAGGGUUCUCGCCGGAAAAACUUCCGGCACCUCCUGACUGUUGGUUGUGUCCACAGGCUCACAGGUUAUCUGCUCAUGGAUCGUCUGCUCAUGGGUUAUCUGCUCAUGGAUUGUCUACUCAUGGGUUAUCUGCUCAUGGAUCGUCUGCUCAUGGGUUAUCUGCUCAUGGAUCGUCUGCUCACUGGUUAUCUGCUCAUAUGUUUGUCUGCUCAUGGGUUAUCUGCUCAUGGAUCGUCUGCUCAUGGGUUAUCUGCUCAUGGAUCGUCUGCUCACGGGUUAUCUGCUCAUAUGUUUGUCUGCUCAUGAGUUCUCUGCUUAUGGAUUGUCUGCUCAUGGGUUGUCUGCUCACAGAACAUCUGCUCAUUGAAAAUCUGCUCAUGGUGCUAACUAAUCAUCAGCUUCACACCAAACAAAUUUAAUGAUAAUACAGGGAUCUGAGAUCUGACCAACUUAUCCGGAUUUCUCGGCAUCAACAUCAUGCUUCUUGGUUUUUUGGUGAUUGUAAAGUUAAUUGAUUGUUUGCAUUAGCUUUCCUACUGUUUGGGAGGGAUACUGUUUGGGACAAAUGCGUCGAAGGGACCAGGAAUGACGAGCAGAUAUCUGAUGGCGGAGUUCUGCGAACCGGUGUGUUCCGUUAAAGCCUGGCGCGUGGAAGAACAGGAGCAGAAACAUCCUGCUCGUCCACGAUGUUGUCGUCCACGAGGCCAAUUCCUAUAAAAGGCAUAAGGCCAUUCCGGCUAGAGAUCGAGAGGCGAGGAGACCCGGUCGACGGCAGUUGGCAAGACGUGCUCUCCAGCACGAGAAUCUAGGCACAACAGCCACACUUUCCCCAGAACCGUGGCGUAACACGCAAGGUCUCACAGAGCCAUGACAGCCACACUUUCCCCAGAACCGUGGCGUAACACGCAAGGUCUCACAGAGCCAUGGCAGCCACGCUUUCCCCUGAACCGUGGCGUAACACGCUAGAUCCCAUGUUUUGCCCAUAACGCAGCAGUUGGAGUCCCAUACCGUCUCGAAAAGAGCGGAAGACUGAGAUUCAGAGGAAGCCUAUAAAAAGGUAGCCAACGAAGGUAAAAGGGUUGGCAUUCUUGAGAAAAGGGGAGAAAACCACAAGAAACGCCAUAAGACCUGUGGCAAGCUUUUCCCGAACCUUCAUAUCUGACUUGAGCGUCGGAGGGUUUGCGCCGGGAAAACAACCGGCGUACUCUGACUUAUCUGUGUACGCAGGGACCUCUGGAGAAGAAGCCUGGCGAGGAGACCUCCUGGUCGUGACGAAGUUGAUCGAGCAGAGAUCCUGAUCGUAGAACGAGGAGAACCGGAAUCUCGCAUCAACACCUACCUUUGGGAUGCAGUUGUUACUGAAGAUCUUAACAGAAUAAUUGAUGUGAAAAUGAACAGAAUUUCUUUUUGUCUUUCUUUUUUCCAUUUGCUGGCUUGCUCCAUUUUCCUUUUUCAUUUGUGGGAUUUCGAUUUCGUAUUGCAACUUGAAAUGAUCUGGACUCAUCUCCUUUAUUCGAACACAUCCGAAUCUGAUUUCAAUCUAAUAUUACCGAUCCGAUCCGAUCCGAAUCGGAAGUAAUCCGAACUAGUCAUCCAAUAUUCGGAUCGGAUUUAAGUUCGGAUUGCAUUCGGAUAUUUUUAUCAAUCCGAAUAAUCCGAAAUCAGGUCCGGAUUAAUUCGAAUCCGAUCCGCAUGCCCACCCUAAAUCCUAUUAAGACGAG